Marmota monax (woodchuck) is the source of this 3727-nucleotide RNA transcript. It is a transcript of the gene named ADAM metallopeptidase domain 8, with no coding region annotated. The transcript is spliced from 25 exons. Lineage: Eukaryota; Metazoa; Chordata; Mammalia; Rodentia; Sciuridae. The record is from RefSeq and is a predicted model, not a curated record.
UAAGUCAUUUGUGAGCUCAGGCGGAAGCCAGCCUUACCCAGCAGUCCCUCCCCUGCUCACAGUGGCCUGUGGACUCCUCUAGCACUGGCAUCUGGGACUGAUGCAGACAGCAGAUGGCUUCCAUCUGUGCUACCACUGCCUAGCUUCUGACUCUGCCAUCAUGCUGGGGCAAGGAGGUGACAGGUUCCCUCCUGCCCCAGCUCAGACCCUUCAGCUCUGUCCCCAGGAAAACAUCCAAGGCGCCAACUUCUUGCCGCUGCCCCUUUAAACUUAGCCUGAAAUCUGUCACCUUUCCGUCUCCAGCUCCAUGUCUCCCUGUCUGGCCCCUGAUCCUCCGCUGCAUCACAAGGGAGGCUGAGCUGCUGGGCUCUGCUGAGGACCCUUGGGUUGCCCCUGGCUGGAGUCAGUCUGGGAAGGCUGUGAGGUUGGCCUGCACCGGCACCCCAAAGCCUGGCCGAAAGUGGGGGAUGUUGCUACAAAGGAGGACCCACAUGGAUCAGGCUCUGAUUCUGGGGCCACUCCUGCCCUACAGGGCAGGAAGGGCAGAAACCAGGGCUGCACGGGGAGCUUGGUCCAAAAGGACCCCAUAGCUGGGAAUGGACCCCAGCCUAGGCAGCCUCCACACCUACAUGAUCUGUGCUGGGACCCGCAGCUGUCUGGCUCCUCCCCAGUGAGGUCUCAGGGGCCUGGAGUAGGGCAUAGGGCUGGUCCUGUUUACCCUGCAUGGGGUUGCUUUUCCCCUGGAAGUCAGAGGAUUCACACACACAAGUCACUCACUGCCCCUCAGUUGCCUCCUUGUAGCUGGACCCCACACACAGCUCAGGCAGGCCUGGGAGAGGCGGGGCCUGGUUCUCCCUAGGUACACGUGCGUUACUAGGAGUUGUAGGGAGUGGCAAGGUUCUAUUCACACCCAUGCCCUUGUUAAUUUAGUCGACAGUUAUGGGGGGACCAGCAAGAAAUGAAGGGGUACCAGGAAGCCACCGGGAAGUGGACUCAGACUAGCCCUGCUGCCCUGGAGGCCCUCCCCAGGUGCAUGUGCCCCGCCCCUCUGCCACGCGAUUGGCCAGGCUGGUCCCCAGGCGGGUGCAUAGGCUGGAGCCCGCAGAGCUCUCAGUUUAGUUCUGCAAAGACCCUCCAGACCACAAGGAGACCCGGGACAGCACCAUGGGCGGCCUCUGGCUCUGGCUGCUCUGUGCACUGUGGCCCCAGGCGAUUGCACUCAGCCCAUCCUUGCCCCCCGUGGAGCAGUAUGAGGUGGUGUGGCCCAAACGUCUGCCUGGACCCCGCACCCGCCGAGCUCUGCCCUCCCACAGGGGCCUGUACCCUGAGAGUGUGAGCUAUGUCCUUGGGGCCGGAGGACACACCUUCACCCUGCACCUGCGGAUAAACAGGGACCUGCUGGGCGUGGGCUACACAGAGACUUAUUCAGCUGCCAAUGGCUCUGAGGUGACAGAGCAGUGGCAUGGGCAGGACCACUGCCUCUACCAGGGUCACGUGGAGGGUCACCAGAGCUCUGCUGCUAGCCUCAGUACGUGUGAUGGCCUCAGGGGCUUCUUCCGGGUGGGCUCUGCCAUCCAUGUGAUCGAGCCUCUAGAUGGAGGUGGUGAGGAGGGGCAGCAUGCAGUGUACCAGGCCAGGCACCUGCAGCAGAAGGCUGGGACUUGUGGGGUCAGCGAUGCCAGCCUGGACAACCUUCUGGGGCCUCGGGUCUCAGCAGCCUUCAGGCCUCAGCCCCGGAACUGGCCCCUGUCCCGAGAUACCCGCUAUGUGGAGCUGUAUGUGGUCACAGACAGCAAGGAGUUCCAGCAGCUGGGGAGCAGAGAGGCCGUGCGCAGGCGUGUGCUGGAGGUGGUGAACCAUGUGGACAAGUUUUAUCAGGAGCUCAAUUUCCGUGUGGUAUUGGUGGGCCUGGAGAUCUGGAGCAGGGACAAGGUCCCCAUCAGCCCCCAUGCCAACAUCACCCUGGAGAACUUCCUUUCCUGGCGGGCACAGGACCUGAUGGGGAGACACCCCCAUGACAAUGUGCAGCUCAUCACGGGGGUCGACUUUACCGGGACCACUGUGGGACUGGCUCAGGUGUCUGCCCUGUGCUCUCGGGCCUCCGGGGCUGUGAAUCAGGACCACAGCCAGAACCCUAUCGGCGUGGCAUCCACCAUGGCCCACGAACUGGGCCACAACCUGGGCAUGAACCAUGACGAGAAUGUCCAGGGAUGCUACUGCCCCGUGCCGCGGGAGGGUGGUGGCUGCAUCAUGGCGGCCAGCAUUGGCUCCAAGUUCCCCAGGACGUUCAGCAGGUGCAGCAGGACUGACCUAGAGAUGUUCCUGGAGAAACCCCAGACGGGCUGCCUGGCCAAUGCCCCUGACCCUGACCGGCUGGUGGGAGGCCCUGUGUGUGGGAACAUGUUUGUGGAGCGUGGGGAGCAGUGUGACUGUGGCACUCCCCAGGACUGUCAGAACCGCUGCUGCAAUGCCACAACAUGCCAGCUGGCUGAGGGGGCCAAGUGUGCCCAUGGCACCUGCUGCCACGAGUGCAGGGUGAAGCCAGCUGGUGAGCCAUGCCGCCCCCAGAGGGACCAGUGUGACCUGGAGGAGUUCUGCGAUGGCCGGAGUCCAGCGUGCCCAGAGGAUGUCUUCCAGGAGAACGGCACACCCUGUCCUGGGGGCUACUGCUUUAAUGGGCACUGCCCCACACUAGCCCAGCGGUGCCAGGAACUGUGGGGUCCAGGUGCACAGGUUGCUGCAGACACCUGCUUCUCCUUCAGCAUCUCUCCAGGCUGCAGAGGCAGGAUCACCCCCAGCAUGGGCAGGGCCGACAGAUGUGGGGUCCUAUACUGUGCAGGGGGCCGGCAGCCCCCAGAGCGCAGCUCCUGUACACUCAGUUCCUACUCGGGCAAUUGCCAAGCUCUGCACGUGGACAGCGAGGCCUCUGCCUAUGAGCCUGUGCCCCAGGGCACCAGGUGUGAUAAGGGGAAGAUUUGCUGGGAAGGGCGCUGCCAAGACCUCCAGGUCUACAGAUCCAAGAACUGCUCCGCCCAGUGCCACAACCAUGGGGUGUGCAACCACAAGAGGGAGUGUCACUGCCACGUGGGCUGGGCACCGCCCCACUGUGCGGAGCUACUGACAGACAUGCAGGCAGCACCUGGGAGUCUCCUGGUCAGCGUGCUGGUGCCCCUAGUGCUCCUGAUGGCCAUGCUGGCCACCCUGGCAGGCGUCAUCGUACACCGCAAGGUCUGGAGCCGUGUGCCCAGGAGGAGUGUAGCACCCAAGACCACCAUGGGGCUCUCCAACCCCCUGUUCCAGGAGGCAGGCAGCAGUGGGCCAACCAAGGGCAGGGCUCCAGGGCCCCCAAAGCUGGUGUCUACCACGCACCCCAGCCAGCCCGUCAGAGCCACUGUGGCCCCAAAGAGGCUGCCCCCUGCACCUCCAGUCAUGUCCAGUCCACCCUUCCCAGUCCCUAUCUACCCACAGAAGGCACCAGACCAGCUCAGACCUGCUCCACCCACCAAGCCCCUCCCAAAGCUGAAGCCCAAGCAGGUUGGCUGUCCACCAAGUGUUGCUGGAUGCCCUCCCAGGCAGGCCUCUGUCUACCUCUAGGUGGUCAAAGCCUGUCAAGCCAACCUCUGCACCCCCAUUGCCACCUGUCAAGCCCAGUGCUGGAGAGACCACACCUGGAAUGACUCAGGGGGUCAAAGGCCCCAAAGUCCCGCUGAAGCCCCGCAUCCGAAGG